Molecule: transfer RNA, 85 nt
Filed under: Crocuta crocuta (spotted hyena)
Lineage: Eukaryota; Metazoa; Chordata; Mammalia; Carnivora; Hyaenidae
Also listed under: 2 other names
Rfam family: tRNA
About the family: Transfer RNA (tRNA) molecules are approximately 80 nucleotides in length. Their secondary structure includes four short double-helical elements and three loops (D, anti-codon, and T loops). Further hydrogen bonds mediate the characteristic L-shaped molecular structure. tRNAs have two regions of fundamental functional importance: the anti-codon, which is responsible for specific mRNA codon recognition, and the 3' end, to which the tRNAs corresponding amino acid is attached (by aminoacyl-tRNA synthetases). tRNAs cope with the degeneracy of the genetic code in two manners: having more than one tRNA (with a specific anti-codon) for a particular amino acid; and 'wobble' base-pairing, i.e. permitting non-standard base-pairing at the 3rd anti-codon position.
Source: Rfam by way of RNAcentral
GCCUGGGUGGCUCAGUCGGUUAAGCGUCUGACUUCGGCUCAGGUCAUGAUCUCAUGGUUCGUGGGUUCGAGCCCCGCGUCGGGCU